AAUCUUCCACAAUGGACGGAAGUCCGUUGGCGCAACGACGCGUGAGCGAAGAAGGUUUUCUGAUCGUAAAGCACUGAUGCACGGGCCGAAUACGUACGGGGGUCCCUGCCCGUUCCACGACGGUACCUUUUCAGAAAUCCACGGCCAAUUAAGUGCCAGCAGCCUCGGUACUACGUAGGUGGCAAGCGUUGGCCGGAAUUAUUGGGCGUAAAGCGCGCGCAGGAGGUCCUUUAAGUCUGAGGUGAAAGCCCACGGCUCAACCGUGGAGGGUCAUUGGAAACUGGAGGACUUGAGUACAGAAGAGGAAAGCGGAAUUCCACGUGUAGCGGUGAAAUGCGUAGAGAUGUGGAGGAACACCAGUGGCGAAGGCGGCUUUCUGGUCUGUAACUGACGCUGAGGCGCGAAAGCGUGGGGAGCAAACA
Molecule: ribosomal RNA, 422 nt
Filed under: uncultured bacterium
Lineage: Bacteria
Description: partial 16S ribosomal RNA
Rfam family: Bacterial small subunit ribosomal RNA
Source: RNAcentral